UUGAGAUGAAAUAAGAGAGCAAAUGCAAGAUAAAUAAAUUUUGUGUACAAGAAAUGUAAAGAAUAUGUAAAAUUGAACUAAAAGACAUUUAAAGUUUGAUUUUUGGUUGUUCAUGGUUAUCGGUGAUAUUUAUAACAGUGACAUUUUCAUAAUUAAAUGAAGAUGGUGAGGAUGUUUGAUGUCAUGUACGAGAAAAAUAUAAUGACAUUCUCAAGAAUAAAGUUUAAUACUAGGAUGAAAAUUUCAAAAAUAAAAUAAAAAGAAGUUCACUAAUUUGUGUUUGACGAGAAGUUGUUGUAAGUCAUUCUUGAAAAUACCCUUUUAAAAUUUAAUAAAGCAUCAACAGAAAUUUAUGUUUUCCAAAUUAAUAAUAUCUUUACAAGUUUUAUAAGUUUUUAAAAGUUAUAUCAGUAUAUAUUUAAAUUGACAACAAUA
RNAcentral lists this long non-coding RNA (435 nucleotides) under Brassica napus (rape). RNAcentral's name for it is "long non-coding RNA (BNAP_LNC018533)". Lineage: Eukaryota; Viridiplantae; Streptophyta; Magnoliopsida; Brassicales; Brassicaceae. The record is from RNAcentral.